UGUGGGAGCGGGCUUGCUCGCGAUGCAAACAACGCCGUCUAUCUGAAUCACCGCGGUGAUGUUAUCGCGGGCAAGUCCGCUCCCACA
Molecule: non-coding RNA, 87 nt
Filed under: Pseudomonas psychrophila
Lineage: Bacteria; Pseudomonadati; Pseudomonadota; Gammaproteobacteria; Pseudomonadales; Pseudomonadaceae
Source: RNAcentral